GGCCGCGGGAAUUCGAUUCAGGCCUAACACAUGCAAGUCGAGCGGUAGAGAGAAGCUUGCUUCUCUUGAGAGCGGCGGACGGGUGAGUAAUGCCUAGGAAUCUGCCUGGUAGUGGGGGAUAACGUUCGGAAACGGACGCUAAUACCGCAUACGUCCUACGGGAGAAAGCAGGGGACCUUCGGGCCUUGCGCUAUCAGAUGAGCCUAGGUCGGAUUAGCUAGUUGGUGAGGUAAUGGCUCACCAAGGCUACGAUCCGUAACUGGUCUGAGAGGAUGAUCAGUCACACUGGAACUGAGACACGGUCCAGACUCCUACGGGAGGCAGCAGUGGGGAAUAUUGGACAAUGGGCGAAAGCCUGAUCCAGCAAGGCCGCGUGUGUGAAGAAGGUCUUCGGAU
This 396-nucleotide ribosomal RNA is filed under the name uncultured bacterium. RNAcentral's name for it is "bacterial SSU rRNA". It matches the Rfam family "Bacterial small subunit ribosomal RNA", at positions 39 to 423 of the family's 1533-position model. The record is from RNAcentral.